CCUACGGGCGGCAGCAGUGGGGAAUAUUGCACAAUGGGCGAAACCCUGAUGCAGCGACGCCGCGUGAGUGAAGAAGUAUUUCGGUAUGUAAAGCUCUAUCAGCAGGGAAGAAAAUGACGGUACCUGAUUAAGCAGCCCCGGCUAACUACGUGCCAGCAGCCGCGGUAAUACGUAGGGGGCAAGCGUUAUCAGGAUUUACUGGGUGUAAAGGUAGCGUGAACGGCAGCACAACUCUGGAGUGAAAUGCCUGGGCUUAACCCCGGGACUGCUUUGGAAACUGUGCAGCUUGAGUGCAGGAGAGGGAAGUGGAAGUCCAAGUGUAGCGGUGAAAUGCGUAGAUAUUAGGAGGAACACCAGUGGCGAAGGCGGCUUACUGGACUGUAACUGACGUUGAGGCUCGAAAGCGUGGGGAGCAAACAGGAUUAGAUACCCCAGUAGUC
This 440-nucleotide ribosomal RNA is filed under the name uncultured bacterium. RNAcentral describes it as "partial 16S ribosomal RNA". It matches the Rfam family "Bacterial small subunit ribosomal RNA", at positions 338 to 795 of the family's 1533-position model. The record is from RNAcentral.